This 427-nucleotide ribosomal RNA is filed under the name uncultured bacterium. Its description in RNAcentral is "partial 16S ribosomal RNA". It matches the Rfam family "Bacterial small subunit ribosomal RNA", at positions 354 to 796 of the family's 1533-position model. The record is from RNAcentral.
GUGGGGAAUAUUGCGCAAUGGGGGAAACCCUGACGCAGCAAUACCGCGUGAGUGAAGAAGGUUUUCGGAUCGUAAAACUCUUUUAUUGGGGAAGAAGAAGUGACGGUACCCAAUGAAGAAGUCCCGGCUAACUACGUGCCAGCAGCCGCGGUAAUACGUAGGGGACAAGCGUUGUCCGGAAUCACUGGGCGUAAAGGGCGCGUAGGCGGUUUUAUAAGUCAGAUGUGAAAGGUACCGGCUCAACCGGUGACGUGCAUUUGAAACUGUAAGACUUGAGUACUGGAGAGGCAAGUGGAAUUCCUAGUGUAGCGGUGAAAUGCGUAGAUAUUAGGAGGAACAUCAGUGGCGAAGGCGGUUUGCUGGGCCAUAACUGACGCUGAGGCACGAAAGCGUGGGGAGCAAAUAGGAUUAGAUACCCCUGUAGUCC